Molecule: non-coding RNA, 922 nt
Organism: Saimiri boliviensis boliviensis (Bolivian squirrel monkey)
Lineage: Eukaryota; Metazoa; Chordata; Mammalia; Primates; Cebidae
Source: RefSeq, a predicted model, not a curated record
GAGUCGUGGGCGUAGGAAAAAAGCGAUUGGUGCUGGGGCGGGCAAAGGGCGAGCGCGCGCACGCGCACGAAUGGGAGUGCGCACGCAGGCUGCGCGGAGGGCGCCGGACUCUGGCCGCGGCUGUAGUACGCUGAUCCUCGCUUGGGUACCCACCCUUAGUGGCCCGGCGUUGAAUUCCGGGAAGUGGGAGCUGCAGGCUCGCUCCGUGCGGAGGCGGGAUUUUGCCGUGUUACUAGGUUGGUCUCGAACUCCUGAGCUCAAGCGAUCCACCUGCCUCUGUCUGCCAAAGUGCUGGAAUUACAGGCAUGAGCCACAGCGCCCAGUGACGGAGGUUAAUAAUUUUUAAAAGCUUCUAAUCUCAUUGUUAAGUUAUUGGAUUUGGUGUAAAGGCCCACUUUCCAACUCAAAUGAGUUUGAUUGCAGUAAGUGCGUUCCCCUAAUAAUUAUUUUUCCUUUGUGGGAAAUAUUCCAGAGUUUUAGGCUACCAGCUGUUUAAACGGUUUGGUUCAAAGCCUUCAGAGAAAUCUCAAAACAUAACCCCACAUAUGUAUUUACUACAUAUUGAAGGGUAUAUUCACCUGGAGGAGUAGGUGAAAGCAAACAGAUGCCCAUGGCCUUUUUGAAAACAUCUAUAAGCAAUAAUUGAAUAGCAAAACUAAAUGGAACACUACCAUCCUUUGCAAUAUUAGUUAGCUUUAAUUCUGAGUUGUGAGGAAUAAUAAGAUCAUAAAAUCUUCAUUUCUGAAGUCCCUAAAGUUAUGAACUGAGUGCUAAUUUUUCAUAUUAAGCUUUAUGUAAAUAUCCUUAAUGAUAGGAAUUUCCUGUGCCUCUAAUUUCUCCAGAGAAACUAACCAUUAACCUAUAAAGACUGUUAGAAUCAGAAGUAUAGUUCAGUUAAUAAAGUCCUCAGUUACAACUCUGA